GAUGAACGCUGGCGGCGUGCCUAAUACAUGCAAGUCGAGCGAACAGACGAGGAGCUUGCGCCUCUGACGUUAGCGGCGGACGGGUGAGUAACACGUGGAUAACCUACCUAUAAGACUGGGAUAACUUCGGGAAACCGGAGCUAAUACUGGAUAAUAUAUUGAACCGCAUGGAUCAAUAGUGAAAGACGGUUUUGCUGUCACUUAUAGAUGGAUCCGCGCCGCAUUAGCUAGUUGGUAAGGUAACGGCUUACCAAGGCAACGAUGCGUAGCCGACCUGAGAGGGUGAUCGGCCACACUGGAACUGAGACACGGUCCAGACUCCUACGGGAGGCAGCAGUAGGGAAUAUUCCGCAAUGGGCGCAAGCCUGACGGAGCAAUGCCGCGUGAGUGAUGAAGGUCUUCGGAUCGUAAAACUCUGUUGUUAGGGAAGAACAGAUGUGUAUGUAACUCUGCACGUCUUGACGGUACCUAAACAGUAAGCACCGGCUAACUACGUG
This 497-nucleotide ribosomal RNA is filed under the name uncultured bacterium. RNAcentral's name for it is "partial 16S ribosomal RNA". It matches the Rfam family "Bacterial small subunit ribosomal RNA", at positions 28 to 507 of the family's 1533-position model. The record is from RNAcentral.